UCUGAUCUAAAGAGCUCUAAGCUGAUGCCCUUGCUUCAUACCUGAGCUAUUUGGAUCGAGAUUAGCUUGCGGGGACCCGUUGUAAGUGUUCCUUCGUUCUUUUAUCGCUUUUCGUGUCCGAAAGUCAAACUAUGUAUAACUUUCUGCAUUGACCUGUUUAUGGUCAACACGAAGUUCGUUCGAACUUCAUAACGAGAGCGUGAUCAUGAUUGUUAUAGUCCCUAGUGACUAUACCUACUGAUUACCACGUUAUAUAGGCUUAGUGACGAGCCAUAGUUUCGGCCAAAAUACGUAUUCUUGCGUAUUUUCUAACCAAACUACUAUUGGGUGUCAAAACCGUUUGUUUUGAUACCAAACCUGUUUUCUAAACUUAGUUAAGCAUGUUUUAACAUGCUUAGCUCAUCACUUUUAACUUAGUGCUUAUAUAGGGUCGUAAGAUGAGCGAUCUAAACAAUCGCUUAUACUUUCGAACCCGACCCGUUUGGUCGAUCAUUAGGAUCCGACCAAACACAUUAGGUGACCAUAGUUGUAUAGCGAAUAAGCUUCCGAGGCUAUACCUUAUGGUCACAUUGUUUAAGUAGUUGUAUGAUAGGUAGUUUAUAUGCCUUAGGUAAAUUACCAAAAUGCCCUUUUUACGCCAAAAUUCAUCUUAAGCAUAUGUAACAUAACUUUUGACAUCUAAACUGAUUUGGUAACAAUGUUAGACAUGUGAAGGCAUAUUUUACUUAUCAUAGGACUAGUUAGGCGUUCCGAACGCGUUUUACGCGAACAACACGUUAAAGUAGCAUAAGCUACCUAAACGGGUCGUAAUGGGUCGUAAGCACUUAGGUUAGGUUUCAUUUUAGUAUGUGGGCUUUGUUAAACCAUAUUACAUGAUUUCCCAUACUCGUUGGUUUUACAAACCCUCAUUCUAUCCAAUCCUCCGAUUUAGGUCCGGUAUAUUAACAUAGUUACCUAUAUUAGGUGUCGUUUGAUAUCCGUGAUCUCUAGCACUGUUUGGUUGUUACUCAAGGACUACUAAGCAAUCUCAACAUGGUGGAUACGCCACUGGAUAUGAUGCAUAGGAUUUAUCAAGAUACACUUAGGCGGACUUGGGCCUUAGUGACAAUAAAAGAUGCAAGACUAGUUAUUUAUGUUAUAUUUCUUUGAUUGUCAAGACAUUGUAACUCUUUUAUUCAAUAAAACAAUAUUUCAGU
Molecule: long non-coding RNA, 1196 nt
Filed under: Helianthus annuus (common sunflower)
Lineage: Eukaryota; Viridiplantae; Streptophyta; Magnoliopsida; Asterales; Asteraceae
Description: hypothetical non coding rna
Source: RNAcentral